Cricetulus griseus (Chinese hamster) is the source of this 551-nucleotide non-coding RNA. NCBI's taxonomy places the organism in Eukaryota, Metazoa, Chordata, Mammalia, Rodentia, Cricetidae. The record is from RefSeq and is a predicted model, not a curated record.
GCACUCAGUGCCUCUAAGGGAGAAUUACACAUUUUGUUAGUCACCUCUGGUCUGCCUGGAUCUGAUGAGUCAUCAGACCUGCUGCUCUGGGUUGAAUAGAAGUGUCUAGCCACGUGGAUGACGAAUCCUGGGCUAAUUUGAUUUUGCUAGGAAUCCAUUUGAAAAGCAGCUCAGAGAGACUAGAAACCUUGGAAUUAUGUCCUCCAGAAUCCCUUGGCAUCAGAGCUCUGCUUUGCAGUUUCCCAAUGAAAGAAACUUGUGCAACAAAGGAAGAAGAAAAUAGAAGUUCUUGCUCCCAUGGGAGCAACACCAAGCAUGCAGGCUUUGAUCAAUGGCAGAUGUGGGAUCACCGUAAUAACUUCUAUGUGCCCUCCUGCACUUGCCUCUUUUACUGUUGAAGGAAGCUGAGAUCAUUAGUCAUCAUUUUACAGUUCUACACUUCUUGGAAGCAUACGGUAUCUUUCCUUGGUCUUUUCUUCUUUGGUCCUUCUAACAGUUUUAACAGUGUCUGGAAUAAAUCCCUCCUUUGAAAACUCUUGAGUGGGGUGCCU